Molecule: ribosomal RNA, 492 nt
Filed under: uncultured bacterium
Lineage: Bacteria
Description: partial 16S ribosomal RNA
Rfam family: Bacterial small subunit ribosomal RNA
Source: RNAcentral
AGUGAACGCUGGCGGUAGGCCUAACACAUGCAAGUCGAACGGCAGCACAGUAAGAGCUUGCUCUUACGGGUGGCGAGUGGCGGACGGGUGAGGAAUACAUCGGAAUCUACUUUUUCGUGGGGGAUAACGUAGGGAAACUUACGCUAAUACCGCAUACGACCUACGGGUGAAAUCAGGGGAUCUUCGGACCUUUCGCGAUUGAAUGAGCCGAUGUCGGAUUAGCUAGUUGGCGGGGUAAAGGCCCACCAAGGCGACGAUCCGUAGCUGGUCUGAGAGGAUGAUCAGCCACACUGGAACUGAGACACGGUCCAGACUACUACGGGAGGCAGCAGUGGGGAAUAUUGGACAAUGGGCGAAAGCCUGAUCCAGCAAUACCGCGUGGGUGAAGAAGGCCUUCGGGUUGUAAAGCCCUUUUGUUGGGAAAGAAAAGCAGCAGGUUAAUACCACGCUGUUCUGACGGUACCCAAAGAAUAAGCACCGGCUAACUUCGUG